RNAcentral lists this small RNA (79 nucleotides) under Flavobacterium pectinovorum. RNAcentral describes it as "Flavo-1 RNA". It matches the Rfam family "Flavo-1 RNA". The record is from RNAcentral. Lineage: Bacteria; Pseudomonadati; Bacteroidota; Flavobacteriia; Flavobacteriales; Flavobacteriaceae.
AUUUAGCCCCGAUAGAAGCGAUAUCCUUUUGUGUCCGCCGCGGCGGACAUAAAAGAUAUAGCGGAUAGCGGGACAGAAC